CCUACGGGUGGCAGCAGUGGGGAAUAUUGGACAAUGGGCGAAAGCCUGAUCCAGCCAUGCCGCGUGUGUGAAGAAGGCCUUCGGGUUGUAAAGCACUUUCAGUGGGGAAGAAAGCCUUGGGGCUAAUACCCUCGAGGAAGGACAUCACCCACAGAAGAAGCACCGGCUAACUACGUGCCAGCAGCCGCGGUAAUACGGAGGGUGCGAGCGUUAAUCGGAAUUACUGGGCGUAAAGCGCGCGUAGGCGGUCUGAUAAGCCGGUUGUGAAAGCCCCGGGCUCAACCUGGGAACGGCAUCCGGAACUGUCAGGCUAGAGUGCAGGAGAGGAAGGUAGAAUUCCCGGUGUAGCGGUGAAAUGCGUAGAGAUCGGGAGGAAUACCAGUGGCGAAGGCGGCCUUCUGGACUGACACUGACGCUGAGGUGCGAAAGCGUGGGUAGCAAACAGGAUUAGAUACCCUUGUAGAC
RNAcentral lists this ribosomal RNA (465 nucleotides) under Vreelandella stevensii. Its description in RNAcentral is "partial 16S ribosomal RNA". It matches the Rfam family "Bacterial small subunit ribosomal RNA", at positions 338 to 795 of the family's 1533-position model. The record is from RNAcentral. Lineage: Bacteria; Pseudomonadati; Pseudomonadota; Gammaproteobacteria; Oceanospirillales; Halomonadaceae.